AUGAACGCUGGCGGCGUGCCUAAUACAUGCAAGUCGAGCGAACAGAUGAGGAGCUUGCUCCUCUGACGUUAGCGGCGGACGGGUGAGUAACACGUGGAUAACCUACCUAUAAGACUGGGAUAACUUCGGGAAACCGGAGCUAAUACCGGAUAAUAUAUUGAACCGCAUGGUUCAAUAGUGAAAGACGGUUUUGCUGUCACUUAUAGAUGGAUCCGCGCCGCAUUAGCUAGUUGGUAAGGUAACGGCUUACCAAGGCAACGAUGCGUAGCCGACCUGAGAGGGUGAUCGGCCACACUGGAACUGAGACACGGUCCAGACUCCUACGGGGGGCAGCAGUAGGGAAUCUUCCGCAAUGGGCGAAAGCUUGACGGAGCAACGCCGCGUGAGUGAUGAAGGUCUUCGGAUCGUAAAACUCUGUUAUUAGGGAAGAACAAAUGUGUAAGUAACUAUGCACGUCUUGACGGUACCUAAUCAGAAAGCCACGGCUAACUACGUG
This 496-nucleotide ribosomal RNA is filed under the name uncultured bacterium. RNAcentral's name for it is "partial 16S ribosomal RNA". It matches the Rfam family "Bacterial small subunit ribosomal RNA", at positions 29 to 507 of the family's 1533-position model. The record is from RNAcentral.